UUCGGAUUNUAGGCUGCAACCCGCCUGCAUGAAGUUGGAAUUGCUAGUAAUCGCGGAUCAGCAUGCCGCGGUGAAUACGUUCCCGGGGAUUGUACACACCGCCCGUCACACCAUGAGAGUCGGGAACACCCAAAGUCCGUAGUCUAACCGCAAGGAGGGCGCGGCCUAAGGUGGGUUCGAUAAUUGGGGUGAAGUCGUAACAAGGUACC
Molecule: ribosomal RNA, 209 nt
Filed under: uncultured bacterium
Lineage: Bacteria
Description: partial 16S ribosomal RNA
Rfam family: Bacterial small subunit ribosomal RNA
Source: RNAcentral